UAUAAAUAUAUAGCUAUAUACAUUCUUCAUGUUUUACUUAAUAUUGUUUGACUUUAAUAGAUAUGUAUAUAUAUAUAUAUAAGCCCCAGAGAACUAAUGCUGGCCUGGGUGAAAAGCUGAUAAAAAAAAAAAGGAAAAAAUUUUACUAGCUGCAAGUGUUUACUCUACUUUUUAAUUUGAAUGAUGAUUGCAACAGCAUUAGCAUUAUGUAGUAAAAUGAUUAGCACUUUUAUGUAAUCUGUGAUUACUUUUCCUCUAAAGAUUCAGCCCCCUGCAUUUGUCCUUGGGCAUUGUCUUUACACCAAAAAAAGCUGAGGAAAAGCUUCUCUCUUUGUUUCAUUAAUUCCCUUUUACAAGGAUAUGCCACAUGCCACAACAACAACCAUAACAUUCUCUUUCCCCCUUUUUCCUUUUUUUUUUUUUUGUUUUGUUUUUGACUGGUGAUAGGAGAUUCCACAACCCAAGGACAACAACAAGAAGAACCAUAACAUUCAAACUUCACUUAAUUGUUAUAGCUUAUGUAUUUGGGUAUGUUUCUACUGAGUACUUGAAGAAUACUCGUUAAGAUCUAUUAAAUAUAAUUAUUAAGAUAAUUCAAAAGGCAUGAGUAAGUGUAUCUCCUCACACCAAUUCAUGAGAUAGUUAUUACUCUCAUACCCUAGUUAAUGUCUAAAUGAGUUUUCCUCAAGGCACUCAUUAGGGGGAAAAAAAUCUAUGAAUUUUGCCUUUUGAAAUUUCCCUUUAUUUAGAAAAAAAAAAGAAAUAUGGCAAAAAAAUUUCUUGUUGUAGUUAAAUUGUGAUGGAAAGUAGGACCCUUCUUUUGUUUUUUUUUUUUGGUAACCAUGCAUGGAGAUUGUCAAAACUAUAUAAGUCAUUUUCAAAUAGGCAUUGAAGUUUUUAAAAAAUUGUAUUAUGAUGUUGAACAUUUUUAAAUUCUAAUUUACUAUUUUACUACUGCUACAAAAAAAUUAUUAUUGAGCAAUUCUUCCUCUACAACUACCUUUGAUUGUAAUACUACAACACCCUCAUCCAAAGGCCAUAAAUUUUACACUAGUCUUAAUUACCAAUCUAUUUUUUAUUUUAUUUUUUUAAUACUGAAAGCAUACAAAGAGUUGACUAAGCCCGAAAUGAGUUGUAGACCAAGUAUCUCUCAUUAUUAUUUGCACCAAGUGCAUGUUUCUCAACACCUGGGGGCCACGUUAUCAUCUGAUAUCUAUUUCGUUUCAUACUUCAAUAUCUACUCCUCAUCUUGCUGCACCUUUUCUCUAUGUAAGUUUUGGAAGGUUUGAUACAAAGUACAGAAUGAGAUUGAGGGAAGACAAUAUUGUGCAGUACAGAUGUGUGCAAAUGCAUUGAGUUGUCGCAAAUAUUUUGCAUUAUUACGGGAUAUAGGUACAUAGCGAAAUCAAAAUUUCAUGAAGGUUAGGUACUGAAAUUCAAACUUUCAAAACUAAGGUACACUUGUUUCAAACGGUGUAUAUUAAGAUCAGUUUACUUACCUCCUUAAAUAUUAUUAUCAUUAUUUUAAGAUCUUGUGGCCUAGGUUUAAUCUUAGAUUCUCUUCUUUUUUUUUUCUUUUUUUUUUUUUGGUGGGUGUUCUGAUCACUCUGGCUACAUAUAUAUUAAUUUUUCAGGUAUCCAAGUGAUGCAGAUAAGCAUUUCCUGGCAAGGCAGACCGGCUUAUCCAGAAAUCAGGUGUGUCCUCUUCUCCCCACCACUCCUAUUAAAAAAAAAAACAAAACAAAACAAAACAAAAAAGCAAAAAGAUAUAAAAAAAAAAACUCUUUAUAUAUAUAUUUUUUUAUAUUAAUUGUUGCCUAAAAGUGUAGCUCUGCAUGGAAUUUUUAAUUUGCUUCCUAUCCCAGUAUUGUUUCAUCACCACCUCUCCUACUUUUUUUGCCUGAAAUUAAAUGCACAUGAUCUUCAACUGCACCCAAUACAACAGUAGUUAAUGUAGUGUGUUGGUGUGUUAAUUACAACCUAGACAUGGAGAUCUCACUUGUUUGAAUCAUUUAAUUCCUUACUUUGAUCAUCUUUACUUCCUACUGGAGUUUUAAUUGCUCUCUAUUUUUUUCUUCAUCUUUCCAUCUGCACAAAUAAAUCUAUUGUAGUUCAUGUUUUCAUUUGCAUCAGGCAUCAUUACACUAUACUAUACUGUAUUUUACAGCUUUUCUUCACUUUUCAAAUGCGCCACUAAACUAAACAAUUUUUUUUUUCCCAUGCCAACAUUAUAAACAAUAAAUCUAUAAUUUUGUAUAAAAGCUAUUAAAAAAUUUUGGUUAAAAAUAACAGAACACAUAUUUAGCUCAAUUUGACAUAAAAAAUAAUAAAAUAUAUAAAAAUAAUAAAAAAUAAUUGAAAAUAAGUUGAUGGAAAGUUUUCAAUGGGUCUAUUAUUGAAAUUCAUUUUAUAUUUUUUAAAUUAUACAACCAAUGCCUCUUAAUAUAGUUGUUAGAUUUUUUGUAAAGCAAUAUAUUUGUUAACAGUAAUAUAGAUAUUGGGGAGAAACAAAGUAGCUUAGUGAUAUAAUAGUACAAUGGUAUUUUUGAAAAAAAAAAAAGUAAAAUAUACCAAAUAAAACUAACACUAAAGUACAAUGCAGUAGAGUGUAAUUAAGCCUUUACAUUAUUUCAUUCCCCCUUCUUAAUUUGAACAAGUAGCUAGUCCAAAACCAAUAAUAAUAAUAAUAAUUAAGAAUUAACCAAAGAGAAAAAGAGAAUUAAAAGACAAGUUGUGUAGUGCAUGCUUAUUUCUUUUUUAUAUAUUUUUCCCUCCUCUUUCAUUAAUUGUUUUCAUCUCAAGUACUUUUGCGUUUCUCCUAGGAGCAUAUUUGUGCAAGCAUGCAGUAGAGGUCGUGGUUUAUGGAAAAAGAGUUUACUAUUAUUAUUACUAUUAUUUUUUUAUUUUUUUUUAUUUUCUAUGCACUUUGACUGGAGGAGUUUGCCCUUUCUUAUAGACCAGCAUCACGACACCCAGCAUUGAAUUGCAUCGUUACAAUUGUUGCAUGCAGUGCAUGUCCCAUCUCUCUCUCUCUCUCUCUCUCUCUCUCUCUCUCUCUCUCUCUCUCUCUCUCNCUCUCUCUCUCUCUCUCUCUCUCUCUCUCUCUCUCUCUCUCUCUCUCUCUCUCCCUCCUCAUGUCGCAUUGUUUACGAUGCAUGAAUUGCAUGGUACUUUUACCACAUUUAACGCGCGCGUAUAGACAACAAACCAACGUUAAUUGACCACUCCACGUACCAAAGAAAUGAGCCCACAACACCUGCACCACUCUUGUUUUUUCAUCUUUUUAAAAUGUUCUUAUUAUUUUACUUUUAAUUUAUUUUUUUGGUUGUUGCAGGUGUCCAAUUGGUUCAUCAAUGCAAGAGUCCGGCUAUGGAAGCCCAUGGUGGAGGAGAUGUACCAGCAAGAAGCCAAGGACCAUGACGACGACGACGAAGACGACGAAGCCGCCGCUGCCGCCGCCGCCGCCGAUGCAGCAUCGUCGCUUUCCCCCCCCUCCUCCUCCGGCGUAGGCGGUGCGCCUCCAAAAUCCGAACCGCACCCUGGCGGGCCCCCCGCCCCCGGCCCGCAGAACGCGCCGCAGGCGCCCCCGCAGCUGUCGACAUCCUCCGCCGUCGCGGACAUGGCGCACGCGGGAUUGUACAGCGGCCGGUAUGCUGCGGCGGCGGCGGCGACGCACGCUUUGAGAUUCGGGGCGGCGGGCGACGUGUCGCUGACGCUGGGGCUGCGGCACGGGGCGGCGGGCAGUGGAGGGAGCGGCGCAGGGGUCGGCGGCAGCGAUGGCGGCGGCGGAGGCCGAUUCGGAGCCGUUAGAGAAUUUGGCGGUUGAUUGGCAGUUAAGUUAGUUAGUUAGUUCGUUAGUUAGGGUUUUUUACUGGGAGGUGAUGGGGGGGAACAUUAAUAGUUACUUAGCUAAUUAUUAGGGUUUCAGAUCAUGAUCAUAGUGACACUAGCUAGGAUUUAUGGUACAGGUAAAUUUAAAAAGAAAAAAGAAAAAAAAAGAAAAAAAAAGAGGAGGAUUAAUUAAGAAAGAAAUUGAUGACAGAGAUGAAAUAUUUUGUCUUUUAAUUUUAACAAUUUUAAAUUUUUAUAGCCUUUUGUUAGAGGUACAAUUUUAAUUUGUAGUGGGUAUGACUAUAUAUAUAUAUAUAUAUAGAUAAAAUAUAUAUUUGCAGGGAAUUAAUUAGUUGUUAAGAAACAUACAAGUGUUCUACGCACACUCUCUCUCUCUCUCUCUCUCUCUCUCUCUCUCUCUCUCUCUCUCUCUCUCUCCUCGUACGGACAAAUUAAGGGUUACAAAAACUAAGGAAAGAGCUUUGCACCUCUUUCUCUCUCUUUCNGGAUAUAUAUAUAUAUUUUGAAGUAAUUAAUUUAGCAUGAGUAUCAUCAUCCAUCGACCUGAUUAAUUGAUUGCUGAUCACUGUUUUGAUAUUGCUGCUGUUUUUUUGUUUGUUUUUAAUAUAUAUUUUUUUGCUAAAUAAAUUCUGUAUAUAUAUAUAUAACAAUUUUAUUUUAAAAAAAUUAUAAAAAAAUAAUUUUCUCCCAAAAAAUGAUUAAUUGUCUUACAUAAUUUAAUAUGAUAUAAGAAUAAGAUUUCUUAAGUUUUAGUCACUACAACAGAAUUAGGUUAUAGGGACACAUGUUUGGGACACUUUUGAGUAAGUGUCCCAUUUAUGCUAAAACUUAAAAACACAUCUACUAAUGCCUAAAUAUAAAGUCCAAUCCAAUCAAAAAUAAAAGAUUACUCUACUCAACCCACCAUACCUAGUCCAUUUGGCCCGAUUACAAACAGAAAAGAAAAAAAAAAAGAAAAAUCAAUUACCAUCUCUUCUUCUCUCUUCACUCAAUCUACUGAAAUUCUAGACGAAGAGUCUUUACUGUCGUCCUUCUCCGCCACCGCAGCCAAUGAGAUAGAGUUUCGGCAGUUGCUAAAUGCUUAAAUAAGUGUUGGUAAAUUAGCAGCACUCUUUUAGGUUAUAGCGACACUCUUUAACUGUCACUAUAUACCCAGCGACCCCACAUAUAGCAACACUUUUUAAAAGUGUCGGUAAUUUUAGCUAACAGCACUAUUUUGAUAUGUACCUACAUUUAAAAGUGUCGCUAUAGACCGUUUUUGUUGUAGUGAGUUCUGCUAUGCUUCUAAUAUUAUUAUUAUUUUUUUAUUUAAUUCAAGUCCAUUUCUUAGGCUAGACACGAGGGGUUCGUGAAUGUAAUUAAGAUUUAAAAUUAUCAUUUUCUCGCAGCUUAAACUAUUGAUGAACAACGGAUGGCAAGGAGAUUAAGUUUGAUUAUAUAUAAUUAAACUACCUAAAGGGACCCUUUGCGAGGAAGCUAAAUCUAUUUCAUGUAGAAAAUUUAUGCAUAUAACAAGUUUAUCUUUCAAUACAAACUACAAUUAUUUCUACUAAUAACCAAUGUUUUAAAAACCGGUUACUUUGAGCCGACUGUUAAUUUUGACCUAUUCGAUCUUGAUCCAGUUAAUAAAAUAGUUCACUUCAAUGUUUCGACCCGGAUAAGCCAAAAACCCAUUUUGAACUGUUUGAAUCGGCAGUUCAACCAGCGAAUUAACCAAUCUGGCUCCAAACAAGCUUGCUGGUUUUUUUUUUAUUUUUUUUUCAUUAGAGUAAUUUUUAAUUUAAAUAUGAUUGAUUUUUAUUUUUGUUGAUUUUAUUUUCUAUUGUGACAAGUGCAACUUGAAAUUUUGUAUCUCCUAAAUUUAGUCUAAAAAUCAGAAUUUUAAAGUAAAUAUGAUACUUGAAUAAUAAUAUAAAGAUAUUUUUUAUACAAUAAAAUUUAAAAAUAAUUAAAUAUUUAUAACAUUAUUUUGAUAUGAAUUACUGGUGGAACCAAUAAUCAUUAAUAACCAAGUAAGAUUAAUUUUUGUUGUUGUUGUUGUUGUUGUUGUUUUUUUUUUUUUCCUCUCAGUUUUGGGCCUUUAGGGAUCAAUCAGCAACACACAUGGCAUAUGUUAAUUGGGGGAAGCUGGAGCUGAUGAUUGAGGAAUUAAUGCCAGAAAUGGUGGUUGAUUGCUGAAGGAAAAAUUACAGGGGAAUGUGAUUGAUUGCAAGUCAAUUAAUGGCACACCAAAUGGGCUGUGUAUCACUGUCCCAUAGCUAACUUUUUAUGCUGUUUCAUUAGGGGACCAUUGACAUUUCUCUCUCUCUCUCUCUCUCUCUCUCUCUCUCUCUAUAUAUAUAUAUAUUGGAGUUUCGUUACUAUAUUGUACUUUUACGAGUACGAUUGUCUUAAUGCUUGUAAGUUAUUUUUUAUGAUAGAAUUUUUGAAUCGAUAAUUCCUAUCGUUAAAUAUAUAUAUAUAUAUAUAUAUAUAUAUAUAUAUAUAUAUAUAUUGAUGUUCACAAAAUUCACAUUGAUUUUCUCUUAUUUUGAUCUUUUCUAAAAAAGUUGUUGUGUACUAGUAAAAUAUAUAUAUAGAGAGAGAGAGAGCUAGGCUGGUAUACUAUCGGUAGUAUGGAGACCUCCGUGCUGCGAAAUUAUUUUCAAUUAUGCGGCUAGCAAAUCGACGAUCGGCUCCAUUAGAUUUGAUCUACAUUAUUGAAAGUAUUUGGAAACUAAAUUUAUAAUUUUUCGAUAUCAUUUGGCUAGUGAUCAAAAGGUCUCAAAAUUGACAAUUUUAAUGGUAGAUGUAAUACGUUUGUGGGUUUAACGGUGUAAAACAAUCUAAAUCUGAUGAACCUUUUAUAGAAAUUUAUUUUUACUAUUUAGAGUAAGAUCGAUACCUCUGAUCUUAAAUUCAAGUUUUUUAUUAUUAUUUUUUAUGAGAUUUUUAUUUUCAGCUCUUCAUUUUUAAACUACUUGUUUGAUAUAUAAAUGAUACCGAAAAAUUAUGAAAUUUAGUUUUCAAAUAUUUUCAAUAGUGUAGAUCAAGUCUAACGGAGCCGAUCGUCGAUUUGGAAGCCGCAUCAUUGAAAACAAUUUGGUAACACGGAGGCCUCCGUGCUACCGAUAGUAUAUCAGCCUAGCUCUCUCUCUCUCUCUCUCUCUCUCUCUCUCUCUCUCUCUCUCUCUCUCUCGUAAAAAACAAAUAAAAAAAGAAAAAGGGCAUGUUAAUACUGGUUUCUUUUGUUUUUCUUAAUUAGGAUUUUGUUAAUUUGUUUUGCAGCAAAAUUACAAUUUGGAGAUAAAGGGACUUGGUGAGAACAUGUUUGACUAGAGUAAUUUUAAAAGGUAUUUUCUUUUAGAAAAGUACUUUAAUUAGUUAUUCUUUUUAGUUAAUUAGUUAGGGGAUCAAUAGCAGAUUAAAGAAUUGAAGCACAUAAAAAGGAAUUCAACUAAUAUCUCUAUGGUCUUGUUUGGAUGCAUGACCAUCUUGUUCCGCACAUAUCUUUAAUUUACUUAGAAAGUUUGCUGUAUUUUUUAGAUGAGGAGUGCAAUAUUCCACUGUGCAGAUUGUUAUACCGUAUUCGGAUUUCAAUUUAUUAUCUCUAAUUGUCAGCGAAAUAUAUAUGAUAUCCUACCAAAUCAUAAAUCCCAAGGCCUUUCGUUAACGAGCAACAAUUAAACUACUCACUUUCAGUCACACCAAAAAAGUUUCAUAUCGAGUAAUUGUUUUAUUGAAUAUAAGUAAGUUAUUCUUGUAUAAUAUAAAAAUGCCAUAUUCAGUCUAAGAUAACAUACCAUAUAUAUUCAAUCUCCACAGGUCGUUUACUCCUAAUAUGUAAUAUAAAAAUCUCCUCACAAGUGAAAUAUGAUAAACUUUUAAAUCAUGGAUGCUGAGAUAUUUUCAGGAUCAAAAACCAAAACUUGUAGCUUCCAAAAUAACAACAAAUUUUUAUACCGAAUAAUUUAUCACUGCAUAACUUAUUCUAACGUCCAAGUAUGACCAAAAGGAGUCCAGGAUGACACAUAUGUUGGCUUAAAUGAGCCAGCAUUUUGCCUUGUGGCGGGAGGUCAUAUUGGGCUGAGUCAUGUUCGAAAUGGCAUGAGACUGGAUGGGCCGAGUCAUGUUCGAAGUGACGUGAGACUGAUUGGACCGAGUCAUAAUCGAGAUCCGUGGGUGCUGUAUCUAUACGCUUUAAGCGAAUUAGUUGCGUAUUUUUUCCUAGAGAGAUAUUGGUUGCGUAGCUCGAGCUUUUGGGAUUAAUAGUUAGCGCCAACGAUCUGACAACAUAUACCAUAUUCAAUCUCAAAAAUUCGUUUUAUCUGUAUAAGAUAAAUUUACUCAUAAUAAGUGAAAUCUGUUAUUCUACCAAAUCAUGGAUAGAAAAAUAUUUUAAAGAGAUAAAAUCAAACUCGUAACUUUCAAUGACAACCGCGAAUCUUUUUAUCGAGCAAACUAGUACUGAAUAACUUGUUCCGGCAUCCAAACAGGAUCUACAGGCACUUCGAAUGUCGAAAAUCUUUAUAUUGAGCAAGGCCUAAUGGGCCCAUUCAAGCGCUCAAAAAGGCCCAAGGCCUAUGGAAGCCGGAGGAGGAUAGACAUGUGGGGCCCACGACAUCCAAAGAUGAGGACUUGGCUCUGCCACGUCGGAUUAUACGAUAAUUAAAAUUUCACUUAUAUAAAUAUAUUUUUUUGAUAAAUACAACGUUCUCCUAGAAAAAUAGCGGAAAAAAAUAAUAUUUAAUAAUUUUAAAAAAAAAUUCGAAAAAUGGAGCUUUUUUCUCUGCAAUUUUUGACUCCUCCUCUGAGACUGAGAAGAGCUUCUUUGUGUUUGGUGGGAAGAGGCGAAGUUCAUAAACCCAACUCGCUUUUCGGGGAAGCUGUGGCUUUUCCGCGCAGAAGCACGAGGUGCCCAGAUGGGAAAAAUCAUAGCUUUUUCCAUUCAAAUUCUGGUAUUUUCUCCAUUUUUGGGUCUUUUUAUGUAAUAGGUGUUCAUCAAUUUCUAAUUUUUAGAUGAUGUGCAUUUUGGCAUGUUUUACCUGUGAUUUGGUUCUCCUUUCCCAUUUUCUAGGGAUUGGUGUGUUGCCUUUAUUAGUAGCAGCAAUUUUGGUAUGUUAUGCCAAACUGUUAUACUAUAAAAAGUUUGGAGCUUUUGCUGCGGCGAAAAGUAAAAAUGAGAUUUUUAAUGACCAGUGUUUAGUUCUGCUUCUGCUUCUAACUAUCAACUAAGAUCGGGGCCUCAAAAGCAGCAGCUCUAAUUUAAAUUUAAAUUAUAAAGAUACAGAGAGAAAUUUGAUGCAGUGCCUCUUUUUAUGUACUUCUCUAGCUAACAGUACUUCAUCAAACAAACAGUAGUAUGCCAAUGCCAAAGUGUAAGGCCAAAUAUGUCCAGAAGGUCCAAAAGCAGAAGCUCUCAUUUCACUUUGUCACCUGUGUUAUUGUUAUUAAGAAAUCUCACUUGCUAUUCUAUUUGACAGUAGAUUUUUUGGAUACAAAUUGAGAUGAAACUGCAGGAUAGUCAAAUUAAAGCUUACCUAUAUCUUAGAUCUAGGAUAUGUUAGCUUAAAAAAAUAAUAAUAAUAAUUAAGUUGGAUAAUUCUUACUGAUAUCAAGUAUUCAGAACUGCCAAUGUGGUCAGAAACAAAUUGAUCAUGGCAGCAGGACACCUAGUUAGGGCUUUUGCGAGUAACGAUCGAUGUAUAGAUAGCACGCGCGAAGUUAUUCUGAGACGCGCGAAUCAAAUGACACUGUUCACCCCCGUAGGAUAAGCAAGGUCUCCAUGCCAUAGCCAGAUCAAGUGUUUGAACAAACGACGUAGCGCAUCAGUACUAGCGUGUUGUAUUGGCCUAAAGUGCUAUUACAGUUAUACAGAUGUCUUAGAUAUUGCACAUAAUUUUGUCAUAGAAAAGCGUCGAGGCGCAUAUUUUGAACCUUGCUUUGAAUUACACGUAUCGUACCUAAUAUCGUCGCGCUCCCAAAUUUCUUCCAUAGCAUCUGUGAAAGCAUCAUCUGGAUCCACGCUGCCGAGCACGUCAGCAGCAACUAAACAGGAAAUGAGUUCGAAAGAAAAAGAAGUCGUAUUUGUUGCUGGUUCCACUGGCAGAGUAGGUUCGCGGACUGUAAGGUCGCAGAAUCUUACUCCCCUCAUCUUUUAAGUCUCAAGUGGUGAAUGCAUCUAUUCUGUUAGUUUGCUGAACGGUUCAAUUUUCGCCAGAGAGCUUAUUAGACUUGGUUUUCGAGUCCGAGCCGGCGUCAGAAGUUCUCAGAGAGCGGAGCCCCUCGUGCAAGUGAGAGAUCAAAGCUUUUCAAAUUGUCGCCUUUAAUUAGGCGCCAAAAUUGUACUAAUGUUAUCUAUUGUUUCGUGUUUUGCAGAGCGUUCGAAAUAUGAAUUUAGAUUCAGGAACCCCACGUAAGAUUUGCAGUGUUGUUCGUUUGCUCUAGUCGUAUUUGCUUCGUACCGUCAAUAACAUAAAGUAUUUUUGGUAUCUAGACCAGCUGUAGAAAAGCUUGAAAUUGUCGAAUGCGACUUGGAAAACGAAGGUGGGAUAGUACCAGCUAUAGCCAAUGCUUCCGUAGUUAUAUGCUGCAUUGGAGCUAGUGAAAAGGAGGUUUUUGAUGUAACAGGACCGUAUCGCAUCGAUUAUAAGGCUACAAAGAACCUUAUUGAUGCAGGUAAAAUAAAGAUUGUAUAUGCAUAGCUACUUGAUUUCCUGCUACAAUUCAGUGAGAUAAAUUAUGAAAUCGCUGCGCCACUAAAUACUAGCUCGUAUUCGCAAUGCGUCGUAUUCUCGCCUGUUUUCUUACCCCUUUUCUUUUGUGCAGCAACUACCGCAAAAGUCGAUCACUUCAUUUUGCUUACAUCCUUGGGGACGAGCAAGAUCGGCUUUCCUGCAGCCAUUUUGAAGUAAGUGCCAUUUAAGAGCAUUAUUUUGAAGAAAAAACUUGUUAGAAACUACCGUAUUAGCAUGAUGAAUUUUACUGGAAAGAUCUACUUUUUGCGGUAACAAGAAUUUUUGUUCCUUAUUAUCACUAUGUUAUGUUAUAUUAUAGCUUGUUUUGGGGAGUUCUGAUUUGGAAAAGAAAAGCCGAAGAAGCGCUAAUUGCGAGUGGUCUUCCUUUCACAGUAUGUGGUAACAUAGCAUAUUCUGCGAUAAAAUUCGUAUUUCAAAUCAUGCAUAUCGGAGGUUCUUUCGACUGUUCUAACUUCGGUUGUAUAUUUUCUUUGAUAUUCAGAUAGUAAGACCUGGAGGAAUGGAGCGGCCAACGGAUUCUUAUAAGGAAACCCACAACCUCGUACUUGCAGACGAGGACACCUUUUUCGGUGGUCAAGUCUCAAACCUUCAGGUUCACUCUUUUGAUCCCAUUCAAUCCGUGUUAAGGUGCAAUAACGGUAUUUACGAGGUUUAGAGUGCGAGGAUUAUAACAUCAGGUUGCGGAGCUCAUGGCGUGUAUGGCGAAAAAUAGACGGCUAUCAUUCUGUAAAGUGGUCGAAGUGAUUGCUGAGACGACUGCGCCGCUACUACCGAUGGAAGAGCUUCUUGCCAAAAUUCCUUCGAAACGGGUCGGUAUCUUACUCAAACCCUUUCUGCCCGUCAGACAAAAUAGGAACAACUUAAUAAUUUGGUUAAUUUGCUGUUUGUUUUUGAGUAGGACAAUGUCUAUUCAUGUAAAUUCGUCUGCUGUUCUGCGCUUUUCUCAUAAAACGCUUCGUUUUGUAUGUCAGGCGCUGCCAGCUGAACUGGAGCUGAAUUUUGCGCUUUCUUCUGCCGAAGAGAUUGUCAAGGAGAAGCCUAAGGACAGGCCGCUGUCUCCUUAUACGGUGUAUGUCGCUUUCCAACAAUAUAUGUCUGAAACUAUAUAAACCUCAACAAAAAGGAUGAAAAUAAAAAUUGCGCGCAACAAUUUCGUAUUUGCAGGUACGAUGAUCUAAAGCCGCCGACCUCUCCUACGCCUACUAAACCAAGCACGUCAGCUGCGCACGAUCCAGGCUAUAAAGCAAAGCCUCUCUCUCCGUAUACAGCGUAAGCAACACUGUUUAAAAAGAUUGAUCUCUAAAACACAAUUCAGUUGCUGUAUAUAUGUUACUUCUUUUUACGCUUCAUUUUGUCGUGAAAAUUGUUGCUGUUAUCAGACAAGACGGUUUGAAGCCGCCUUCAUCACCGUCUCCUCCCAACUCACCUUCUACCGCGGAUGGCAGUCCUCAGACUAUAACUGCGAAAGAGUCAGAGCCUGCAAAACAGCGGCCUCUCUCGCCGUACACCAUGUAAUACUUCUCGAUCGGUUUUUUUAUAGAGAGAUCUUGCUGCUGCUUUUAAUUUCGUCUCUUAAUGUUCGGAAACAUUCGAUGUUGCGAGCAGGUACGAGGAUUUGAAGCCGCCAUCAUCGCCAGUGCCGUCUGUGCCAAAGUUCUAGUCCAGAUGCAGAUCACCGGCGUGUGCCAUGCGAGAAAUCGGAAUUCAAAAUCGGAAUUCACAGGAUAGAUGUUGGUAAUAUAUAAAUAUAUACAUGUAUGGUCUGUAAAAUUUCGAACAUAACAGCGAGAUUGCUCACGAAUGCUUGGGGAAAAAUUGUUACAUGUUUCAUUGUAAAAGUAUUUUAUUUAAAUUUAAAUAUAUGUUUUGUUUUUUUUUUUUACGGAAAUUUCAUUGUAGUAGUCCAACCUGGUUAGGAAUAUUAGGGGUGGGAACAAGCCGAGCUUGAGCCGAGCCUAUCUUAGCUCAAGCUUGGCUUGAGAUUAAUUUCAAGCAUAAAUUUAAGGUCAAGCUCGGCAUGAAAUUAAUUCGAGCCGACUUUGAGCGAGCCUAAUUUCGACUUGACUGAGCUCGAGUUCCAAACGAGCCACUUGAAAUUUUUAACAUCAUACAAUCUAUAGACUGUAGUUAUAUAUAUAUAUAUAUAUAUAUAUAUAUAUAUUAUGGUCAUGUCAAAAACACCAACAAAUCUCAAUCCUUGCCCCAUUAGAAUGGUGUAUCUUCUUCCUACACUUCUCUCUAAAUCAUGUAGGCUGAGGGGGGCCAUGGCCCCCCUCAACUUUUAAAAUGUUCAUUUGUGGUUCUUAUAUUGCUAAGACUUAAAAGAUAAGAAGUUAUAGUUAAACAAAUAUUAUAAUAGUGGCCUAUAUGAAAAGUUCUUUAGUGUGUCAUGAGGCACAACAUGAACGGCAGAGAGUCAAUCACCACAGAAAAAAGAAAAAAUGAAAUUGCUUGCACCUAAUACACCAUACAUCAUACUCGACGAGAUUCGGAGUAUGUAUAUAUUACAAAUUAAAAUUUAUCCUGUAAAUGUAAUCUGCUUCAUUUGAAAGGUUUUUAUAUGAAAAGUUAUAAAUUAAAAAUUAUAAAUUUUGAGCAUAUAUUAGUUAUCUAGUAGUUCUAAAAAAAACAGCAGUGUAAAAAACUAUAUAUAUAUAUAUAUAUAUAUAUAUAUAGUAGGUCUUGUGUGUUAUUAGGAGCACGGAGGCCUCUGUGCUCCUAAGCCAUUUUUGAUGAUCGGUUUUCGAAUCGACGAUCAGCUCCGUUAGACUUGAUCUAACAUAUUUGAAGUAUCUAGAAAAUAAAUUUUACGAUUUUUCGAUAUUAUUUACCUAGCAAUCAAAAGAAUUCAAAAUCAAUAAUUUUUAAAUUAUUUUCUAGAAACUUCAAAUACGCUAGAUUAAGUUUAACGAAGCCGAUCGUCGAUUUGAAAAUUUCAUCAUCGAAUUGAAAAUUCCAUCAUCGAAAACAGCUCAGGAGUACGGAGGCCUCCGUACUCCUGAGAGCACAGCAAUCCUGAUAUAUAUAUAUAUAUAUAUAUAUAUUACACUAUAAAAUGUAGAUAUCUAAAAAUUAUAGCUUUUGGCCCCUCUACGAUUUGAAUUCUGGCUUCGUCCCUCUCUCUCUUCUUCCUCUUAUAAUCAUCAUUUAGUAAUGUAAUAUUUUAUAUAAUAAUGAAACUUAUAAUAUGUGAUAUGUAUUAUUAUAAUUUAAAUGAGCAUGUAAUGGCUUUUCGAAAGACAUGAAGCCAAUUGGUUGGAGAAUCUUUGCCUUUCUCUCUGUCCUCUAGCUUAGGUGUUGAACCCCUCCCUCAUAUUCCUCUCCCUUAACCUAAAAUUUUAAUUUAAAUGCUAAUAAUUAACUUUUCUAUGAUCAUUAAUAAUUUAUUCAUCAUGCUUGUCAUAUAUUUAUUGUAACAAAUUAGUAUUAUUAUUAUUAUUAUUAUGUCACACCAUACUUAAAUUAAUUAGCUGUUCCAACUCUUUUAUUUAUCGUUUCUUACCAUUACAAAAAUAGAAUACAAAAUGUGGAGGCAUAAUUCGAUUAAUAUUCUAUCUAACGCUAUCUCGGUCGACCAAAGCAAAUUAAGUUUUAUCAAUAUAUUAUAUAUAUAUAUAUAUUUAUAUAUAUGUGUGUGUGUUUGUGUGUGCUGUGUCUGUGUCUGUGUCACGUACAGACAACAACUACAACAAAAACGGUCUAUAGCGACACUUUUAAAUGUGACAUGUCAAAAAAGUGUGCUAGCUAAAAUUACCGACACUUUUAAAAGUGUUGCUAUAUGUGGGGUCGCUAGGUAUAUAGUGACAGUUAAAGAGUGUCGCUAUAAUCUAAAAGAGUGCUACUAAUUUCUCAACACUUAUUUAAGCAUUUAGCAACCACCGAAACUCUAUCUCGUUGGCUGCGGUGGCGGAGGAGGACGACAGUAAAGGCUCUUCGUCUAGAAUUUCAGUGGAUUGAGUGAAGAGAGAAGAAAAGAUGAUAACUGAUUUUUCUUUUUUUUUUCUUUUCUGUUUGUAAUCGGGCCAAAUGGACUGGAUGUGAUGGGUUGAGUAGAGUAAUCUUUUAUUUUUGGUUGGAUUGGGCUUUAUAUUUAGGUAUUAGUAGAUGUGUUUUUAAGUUUUAGCAUAAAUGGGACACUUACUCAAAAGUGUCCCAAACAUGUGUCCCUAUAAUCUAAUUCUGUUGUAGUGAAAAAUUAGUUUAGAAUUUUUUUAAAAAAUAUUUUUAUUUUUUAGAAAAAAUUAUCUACACCUUCUCCCCUCUCGGUGGCAACGUACUUUCAAAAGCAUUAAUUUCGUUGAAGAUAUGGACUUAGAAAACACAAAAAAUUGGUAGACCAAAUCAUGCCGACCAAGCUUGACUUAUUGCAUGGUCAUAGAAAUAUAUUAUCAUGUAUAUAUAUUUAUAAAAACUUUGCAAGAUGAAGUAAUUAAUUUGUCACAAACAUGUCAAAAUCUUAUGUCUCAUCAAAUAUAUAUAUUUCGAGAUGUGAGUUCGAUCUCAUGAUAUAUAUGGCGGCCGUUGCAUAGCGAAUCGUCCUGUGUUGUACAGUUAAAAAAGAAAAUUAAAAGUAAAAUAGGAGUUUAGAUAACCGUCGCUAUAAUAAAUCUUGCACUUAAAAGAUAUUUAAAGUUAAACAAUAACUUGCGAUGCUUUAAAGCAUCAGCAAGAAUAAUCCUAACGCUGGUAAAAGCGUUGGGUAAAGCGUUGUUAAAUAAACAUGUCGGGAUAAAUAUACCGACAUUUUAAUAUAGCGUCAAAAAAUUUUUAUUAGUAUUUGAUAAAAAUAUGUUUAUUGACAACGCACGUUUAAUCAUGGUGUUGGUACGUAUAUGCCAAAUAUAUAUUAAAGAUAUUAAAAUAGAGCGCCAUCUAAAAAUCGUUAUCUAAAAUAUAUUUUGUUGUAGUGCGUAUAUAGCUUAUCAAGUAGCGAAUUGGGUUUUUUUUUUUUUUUGAAUCCAUUCCAAGUAAAUCAAUAUAUCAAGGCCGAGAGAUCAUGUUACAUUUGCUCUUAUUAGUAUAAGUUUUAAUUAGUGCUAAUUAACUUUUGUUGUAUAAUAACAAAAUGCAUGUUAAUUAAGGUGGGUUAAAUUAAUGAUAAUGUGAAGCACUUAGCCAUAUUAUUAGAAGGGAGAAUGCACACCAUGUCAUCAACCACUAUAUGUCAACAACCAUAUUAGCAAGUUAAUCGCUUUCCUUUAAUUAGUCUCAAUCCCCAUUAACAAGUUAAUUGUUUUGUUCUUAUAGAAGGGAUGCAUGAUAAUGACAUCCCAACCAUUCCCUCUUCUUCCUCCACAACCUCUCUCUAUUAAUUUCUUUGUUCUUCUCUCUCUCUCUCUCUCAUCUCUUCCUCUCCACCCUAUAGCAACUCUCUCUCUCCCUCUCUCUCUCUAUAUUUUCUCCUUCUAAAGGAGAUUCAAGCAUGCAUGCAUGGAUGGAUGUAGAUGUUACACAUAUAUGAGGCUAGGUAAGAGUGCGAUGUUGGGGCGGCUCAAUCAAAUGAUGUAUAUGUCUUCAUGAGACUAUCGGAUGAACUUUUAUAUCUGAUUGAGCCGUGCCAAUAUCACAAUUCUUUUCUUGGCCUAUUGCGACUGGCAUAACUAUGCAUACGUGACAUGUCACGAUCUCUUGGAAGGUAUGCAUAUAUAUAUAUAUAUAUAUAAUUUAUCAUUGGUUUGCAUUGACUCGAGAAUCAUUUUGCGCAUGCAAUUAAUCUGGUGUCGCAAAAAGUUUGUAGAUCGACAUAUUAGUGUAGUCAUGAAUAUAAUGGAUUUGAUAUACAAUUUCAUGCAUACUUUUACGAGCUCAUGCCCAUAUAUAGGUGCAAAGCUACUCUAUAAUGCGCGCUUAACGUCUCUUCAUCAUAGUGUUUUUGACGGUUCCGUAGUUUCUUCUCCUCCUUCUCAAUAACACCUCGACAAAUAAUAUAUAUACUCACACUCUUGGUAAGUUUGGUCUUAACUUAAUAAAUUGACAUGAUAGAGCAAGUAGUUUUGAUAGCUUCUUAAAAAGCAUAUUUAUAUAUAUUUAAACAAAUCUCUCUUUUGUUGAUGCACGUAAUUUUUGGAAAUUACACUUUCAUAUGAUGAAAAGAUCUCCCUUAGAAACCGUUUAUAUUCUUCUUUAAUUUUUCUCUUUUUGUGUUAAGCUCUUUGAAAUCCAUGCAUCAUUGAGAUUAAAAAAGACCAUAUUAAUUAAUGAUUUUGUACAUAAUAAUUAAUCUUCUUAAUUAAUUAAGGAAUAAAAGAUUCACUUUGCUUAUCUAUCGGCCGGACUCAACUUUAAAUAGCACAUAUAUAGAUAGGGCUGUAAACGAGCCGAGCUCGAGCGAGCUGGAGCCAGCUCGAGCUCGGCUCGUUGUCUUCUAGGUCGGCUCGUGUUCGGCUCGAGCUCGUGACGAGCUCGAAAACUCUGGCUCGUGAUCGGCUCGAAACUUAAUCGAGCCGGCUCGUGUUCGGCUCGUUAGCUCGUACCUGGUGGCCGAAGCAGAUGNACAGCGAGCUGGAUUGCCACCCCUAUAUAUAGAUGAUCAUGCACUUCAUGUAUUUAUGAAGUUCUCUUCAAAAAGGUAAAAGAAAAUUUCUAUGAACUUAAUAAUACUUUAUUUCCUGCCAAUAUAUAGUUGGUUAUCAUCAUUAGAAAAUAAAACAAACUCAAGCAUCUUAUAAUUUUUAGGCAAAUGAUUCAUAUAUAUAUAUAUCUAGAGUAGGGCUAGAAUACUUAUAAAAGUAUCAUGGGGGUGAUACUUGCGUGUUUUUAGCCCUUGGAUGGAGAGAUGUGAGGUUGAGAUGAUGGUGGUAGGUGGUGGUAGGUGGAAUAGUGUUUAAUCCAAGGGCUAUUAAUAAUCAAAAAGUAGAUCCAAUGGCUUAAAACCUAAUAGCACCAUGAUGGUGAUACUUGUAAAAGUAUCAUAGCUCAACUCUAUAUAUCUAUAUGGUUAAAGGUACAUUUGUUUUUUCUUUGUAAACAGGCCCUACAAUUAUAAGAGGCCUCUAUAUAUAGACAUGUAUAGGCCAUGUCUACUAUACUAUUAUGGGUAUUGGAGCCAUCGUACUCAUAAGUUGUUUUUAAUGAUGGAGCUUCCGAAUCUACGAUCCAUUUCGUUAAAUAUGAUCUAGAGUAUUUGAAACUUCUAGCCCCCGUUUGGUUCCGGGUUAAGAAAAAAUAGCUAUUCCAGGGAUAGGGUUAAGUUCAGGGUUAAAAUGGUGUUAAAGUUUUUUUGUGUUUGGUUAGAGGUUGGAGUUAGUCUAGAAUAGUGAAAAAAAGUGUUUGGUUGGAGUAGGUGGGAUAAGAAGAUAAUGAUUGAUAAAGAAGAAAAAGGUAAGAGCUCGGGAUGCGUGCGGGGUUAAAGUUGGGAGGGGGAGUGGGGUUAAUGAUUGAUAAAGAAGAAAAAGAUGAGAGCUCGGGAUGCGUGCGGGGUUAAAGUUGGGAGGGGGAGUGGGGUUAAUGAUUGAUAAAGAAGAAAAGGUGAGGGCUCGGGAUGCGUGCGGGGUUAAAGUUGGGAGGGAGAGUGGGGUUAGUAAACCCCACUAACCCGGUUUGGGGUGGGGUUAGUAAACCCCACCCCAAAAGAGUGGUGUUUGGGUAUAAAUUGGGGGUUAAGGGGUGGAAUAACAACCCCUUAACCCCCAACCAAACGGUGGCCUAGAAAAUAAAUUUCGUAAAUUUUCGAAAUCAUAAUAAAAUCCAUCAAGUGGGCAUAAAAUGAACGGUCAAAAUCGAACGACGUCCUAAAAAAGGAUGAUCGGAUCCUUUAAUUCAAGAUCGGAGUUAUUGAUCUUUAUCUAUAGAGUGAAUAGACUUUUCUAUCAAAAAUUCAACAAAUUUCGAUUCUUUUACACCGUUAAACUAGCAAGUAUCCCAUACCGGCCGUUAAAAAUUGUCAAAUUUGUGACCUCUUGAUCGUAAGGUAAAUGAUGUCGAAAAAUUAUAAAAUUUUAUUUCUAGAAGUUUUAAAUACUGUAAAUAACGUUUAACAGGUAUGGAUCGUCGAUUCGGAAGCUCUAUCAUCGAAAACAACUUAUGAGUACGAGGGCGAUCGUAUUCAUAAUAGUAUAGUAGCCGGACCAUACAGAUAUAAUGAAUAGAUUAAAAUGUUUGGAAACCAACCUCAACUUUGAAUAAUUUGGAAUUAAACAAUCUAUCAAAUCCUUAAAAAAAAAAAAAAAAUUACUUUGUCACCCUGCAUUUAUAGCUAUGAAAACUAUUGCGUGCACCCGGUGCACAUUCGUGAAUCACAAUACUUAAUUAGAAGCACGACUGCAUAGGGGGGUACGGACGCCCGAAAUUUUAUUCGAAUCCAAAUCCGAACAAGGGUGGUUUAUCAUAUGCUAAAUGGAUAUGGUUUCAGAUAUGAGUAUAAAAAAUAAAAAUCCGACCCGAAUCCAAACCCAAACCCGAUUAGAACCCUAAUAGAGUUUACGUUAUAUAAUAUACAAGAAUGUUUGAUGUUAUAUUUGAAUUUAUAUUUUAAAAUUUUAGAUUUUAAUGUAAUCUAUUUUGAUAAAGGGAAGUAAUUAAUUGUUUCGGUUUCGGAUUCGGGCUUCAGAUUUUUGGUUGUGAUUCGGUUUUAAAUAUGAAUUCUCAAAAUCCGUCGGGUUUGGGUUCAAAUUUCAAAUUUGGGUGUUGGAUUCGGGUUUGGGUUUUGAAAAAAUCCAUUCCGAAUCCAACCCUUUAACAUCCCUUGACUUGUGUCAAGGACAAGUUGAAAUAAUAUCUCACUGCGCAAAUUAAUCAAGUGAUUUCAAAGGGUAGGUAACUAACUGGAAAUUUUUUCUAUGUUGCGUGGUGGUCUGCAAAUGACUUGUAGAACACAUUUGUAAGUUAGCUAAAACUAUAUGACACGUGACAUAUCUAUCUUCGAACUUUAAUUUAUUAUUAUUUUUUAUCUCAAAUUUUGUAUGUUAUUAUAAUCAAAUCCCACAAUAUAAUUGAGUUGAUUUAAUGGCAAUAAUGUAAAAAGUUUGGGUCAGAAAUUGCAACUGAUUAGAGCGCGAGAACUGACGUGGUCAUAGUUUGGGGACCAAAGGUGCAGUUUAGUGUUAUAAUUAAUAUUGUGCCGGUCAAUUUUCAAAGUCUUGGCAAUUGAUAUAGAACUAAUUAAUUAAUCAGACGAUUAAUUAAAUUGAAGAGUUAAUUAAUUAGUUAAUUAGGUGAGCGCAUUCUCUUGACCAUUAGAAUUGCCAAAAUGCCUCUUGUGACGCCCCGACUUCCCAGGGAGUCAUCCAUCCUAGGACUACUCCCGUCCUAGCACGCUUAACUCUCUUAACCUCUUGGGUCUAGCCACCACCCAAAAUGCUUAAGCCGGGUUAAGAGUUUAGCCCUAUUAUAUCUUAUAUAUGUAACGUGUUACAACAAAUUACAGUUUGUAUGGGAACAGCCUUUAGAAAGUUACACAAGAAACCACCUGCAUAGAAAUAAAAUGGCUGGCUUAAAUCAUACAUCAGAACACGGAAAUAUAUGAAACUUGAAUGACCAACCAGUGUCAAGAUAAAUACAAUAAGGAAAUACAAACAAAAGUUACAAAAUACAAUGCAGCCUGAGUUAAUAGGCACAAAUAUUAAUGUUUCCAAAUGUUGCAGAAUUCCAAACAUCAAUUCUCAGCGACCAUCCUUCUGAAGAAUAAGGUUCACGAAUUCAGAAGAAGGUUCACGAGUUUGCAUAUGCAGUAGCAUAUUCAGGCAGCUGAUUUUUGGGUUGCAUAGCUUGCAUCCGCUAGUGAUCUAGUCCGCCUAUGACCAGUACAAGGCCAAGUCAUGCAUUUGCCAAUAGUACAAGAAAAUGCAAGUGAAAACACAAAAUAGAGAUGGGCUGCUUAAAACACUUGACAUGAACAUUUUAGCCUAAUUAGGAUAAUUUAAUUAUAUUAACUUGCUGGAACUAUCGCAAGGAACUUUGUUCAAUUAUAAUUACCUAAUAAAUAUACGUAAGGUUUUAAAAGCCAUUCUAAGUUUUUCAUAUUAGUUCCUUUGUAUGUUCUCUGCUUAACCAACUAUAGGAUCUUACAUUUUUGCCGCACUUACAACAGCAAUGCGGACAUAUGCACCUCAUUUUUAAGAGUUAUCCAUCCCUCAUAUUUGUUUAUCGUUCACCUCAUUGUUUGUAACAAUGACAAACUAGUAGUAACACCCGGAACACAGCAAACCACAGGAUUCCCAUUAAUUGGAGGAAAGUGAAAUUAGGCAUUAGGUCGACAGUAAGAGCAUUCCAUAACUGAUUAUUUAACAGGCAAACAUGAAUCAAACUAGGUUCACAGCUAAAUGCUAAGUAAUGACAUAUAAUGUGGAAUUAAUUGAUAUCCAGAGAGAGAGAGAAUUUCUUGCAGCAGUCUCGGAAAAGUUUGAUUUUUAACAGCGAAAAGGGCUUCAUUCAUUGCAAAACGCAAUGGCCACAGUCCAUCUCACUGACCCUCACUAGGAGGAACCUCAUCGAAGCAUACAUUACAAGUGAUGGGGCAUGGCGAACUUGACAAGACGCGACCUUUAUCUCGAUAGCGGACACUCCGGCCUCCAAGAACAACCUCUCUCUCCCCUUCACUUCCAGCAACUCAAAAAUCCGUUCCACGUCCACCGGUAAUGGAUCAACAGCGUCGAGCAUGCUGCUCCUCGAAGAGCAAGCAACUCAUCACCUUCCUCAGAUCCUCCCUCUACAGGAAACCCAAGGAACACCAAAUUUACCAAUUUAAACCUAAUGCACACAACCAAACACACCAAUUCGCACAAAAGUGCUGCAUUAAUUACCUGCGCGGCCAAAAGGGACUCUUUGGUGAUAACCUGCGAUCAAAUUAGGGCAAAAUCAGGUCCCGGCAAAAGGGAUCAAAUUAAACUCGAAAAUUAGGGCCGAAAACAAGAUCGGCGAACGGGAAAAUCGAGGGGCGGGGACGAACACGGACCGAUGACACGGACCAGUGGCACUCCUCCUCGCCCCCGUCCGCGAGGACGUCGAGCACCGUCUCCUCCGCCGGCGUCGUCAUUAUCGCUAAAGUAGUACUCCGCCUCCUCCGCCGUCUCCGAUUCCUCCUCCUCCGCCGCGCAUCUUCCUCUUCCUCUUCCUCUUCCUCUUCCUCCUCCGCCGCGCGCGCCGCCGCCGACGCCGACGUUCGAGAUCGCUCGACGAGGCGGGAUCGUCGUCGCUCGCCAUGGGAGCGAUCCGAGCGAAAGGGAUCAAAGAGGGUCGACAGGGAUGGGAUCGAAUUGGAGAGAGAGGGGAAAAAGAAGCUUUCGUAGGGUUUGAUGAGGAUUGGCGACGGCGUAGCUCCCUUGGGUAGGGGUUCUUCUCUCUUCUCUCUCUCUCUCUCUCUUCUCUCCUCGCUCUCACCUCACUUUUUUUUUUUUUCUUUCUUUUACCUGUAACUUUUGUUUUUAUGUUUUUAAUUUAAUUUAUAUUUAUUAAUAUUUAUAAUAUUUUUUUUUAUUAUGAAUUCCGACAUGGAUCGGCGUACGAUUAGAAUCGAUUGGCUCGGGCUAAAAGGUUAACCCAACCCUGUAACGUACAUAGAGGGCGAAAAAGGACGAAUACAUGAGGAUAGUGACAAAAUCAUUAUUCACUUUUUUUUCUUUCGUUUUGGGAUGUGAAUUGAAUUUGGAUUUCGAUAUACGAUAGAUUAGGGAUUAAAAAUUAUUGAUUUUGAAUCCUUUUUGAUUGCUAGAUAAAAUAUUAAAAAAUUAAAAAUUUAUUUUUAAAUAUUUUAAAUACGCUAAAUUAAGUUUAACAAAAUCGAUUGUCGAUUCGAAAGCUCUAUUAUCGAAAAACGGCUUAGAAGACAUUUGAGGCCUUCGUACUUCUAUAUAAUAUACAAAAGUAGCUCUCUCUCUCUCUCUCUCCCUCUCUCUAUCUUAUAUAUCAUAUAUAUUAUUACCUUUAUGAGUAUAGACCCCAUAUAUUUAUAAAUUUUAAUCGUUGAUUGAUGAAAUGUUAUAGUUAGGAUGAUGGUGGUCCCCCAUUAAAAUGAUAGUGGUUCUCUAGGGUUGAGUGGAUAGUUAGUUAAAUUGAUUAUGCUAACGGGUAAAAUAUCAAUAUAAUUAAAUUAAGGGCAGAAGACUUACGAGUUAAUAAAGGAGCCAAUACUCUAGCGGACUAAAAUUAUAUAUAUAUAUAUAUAUAUAUGUGUGUGUGUAGAGCUACUAUGCUACGGAAGCAUAGAAGAUUGAUGCUUCCAAUUUUUUAACCCUUGGAUAAAAAUUAUAGGUUGGGAUGAUUGCGGUCCCCCCAGUAUUGAGUAAUAUCCCUAGGGUUGAGGGUCCCCACAGGGUAAUAGUGUUAAUUCAAAAUUAGAAAUGAUCAAAAGGGUUGAUCGAAGGGCCAAAAAAUAGGAGCACCAAUAUAUAUAUAUAAUAGUACGGUUGGUGCGAUACUAUCGAUAGCACCAAGGAUUUGGUUAACCAUUUGAUUAUUUUUAUCGUCAAAUUAUACUAUUCACAACCACCUCACUCAACCCUAGGGGGACCACCUCAUCAAAACCACCAUAUUUUUUAAUCCAGCGCGUUAAAAAAUUAAUAGCAUACCAAUAGCUUGAUGCUAUUGUGUAUUUCACUUAGAGUUCUAUAUAUAUAUAUAUAUAAAGGAGUUGCUAAAUCUCUACAAUAAUACUAUAGCAUAAUUACAGAAGGAAAAACAAGCAACUCACUCCAACACUCACAAGAAAUAAUUGAAGUAUCCACAAUCUUAUCUUUAAGUCUGGUCGAGAUCUUCACUGUCGGGGCGACCAAACUCUGGCUUCUAUUACUUUCUCACGAGAACAGAAUGUCGAGUCUCUAAGUAGACUGAGCACCCUUGCGGCGCCAAUGCUUGCUUCUGCGAUAGACAUCUUUGUAUAAAAAGAAAAAAGAAAAGAAAAAUUCAAAUCCUUUAAUCUAGAAUAAUACAGUAGUACGAUAUGUCGAGGGGCGCUUCAAAUAUGACUCGUGGGUGUUUAUACUUUUUCAUUUUAGUAUUAUAUAUGUGAGUUUAAAAUAUAGUCAACUUUAAUAUCCAUGUGGUUAAUUUCAUUUUUUUUCGUUUUCGUCGAGCUUUUCGUAAUUUUUUCGCUUAAAUUUAUAUACAAAAACUUCAGAUACCCCACCUGAUAAGUUAUCGAAAUAUUUACUUAUAAUACCUUUAGUUUUGUACUGUUAUAUACUGAAUUUACGAAAAAAAUUAGUGGAAGCGGAUAACUAAGAAAAAUAAACAAAAAUGAAAAACACAUCAGUACUAUCUAAUUGGUACACCUUUAAAAUCAGAUAGCGCCACUAAAGUAAAGCGAAACACGGUGUGGUAUUUUGAACUUUCCCAUUAAUUAUCUCUCACUAAGAUCAAGAAAAAGUUCAUUAAGAAUGUUAGAGAAUUAAAGCAAAUUAGAUUUGUAAGUAACGUUAUUAGUACUGUUGUGGCUAUUAUAGUACAUAUAUGGGAUUGACAUAUUAUCCUUGCUUGGCAAUAUUUCCCAUAGAAAACCUAAUUAAACUGCUGAACAUUUGAGGAUUUGAGCCCAAAGGUGAUUAGAGAGAGUUCGAUAGUGGUUGUUGUGACUACAAAUUCUAAGGGCAUUAAAAUUAGUUCGGCUUGGUUCGAUUUUUACGUUGAUUUCAAACUAAACUAAAAUUUUUGGCUUGAAAAAAUCAGCAACCUUAGCCAGGCCAAUUUAUUGUGGAACCGAUGCAAACCAAACAUAUUAAUUGGUUUGGUUCGCGUUUCACUAGCGGAGAGUAUUAGAAUUUUUAUUUUUCUUAUAAUAAUUCUGUAGUAUCCUUAGGUUUUUUGGGUUGCUUGUGGAUUUCAGCAUCUGAGAUUUGGCGACAUAUUUGAGAGAAGUGUCGGACACAGUCGGAAUCGUUGGCGAAAUUGACGCAAAACGGAACUCAAACGCUGAGGCACGACGAGUAUGAGUUCUUGAUGCUGAAAUCACAAAGUGGAGGAUUUCAGUGUUGAUGUCCGGGUUGGCAUAGGACUGGUACCGAUCCCUGUAUGCGGCUUGCGGGCUGAAGAGGUCGAGUACCUGUAACCAAACGGAAAGUACCGAUACUCAGCUGUCAUGUGAGUUGGUAGGGUAUACGGUCUUUUUGUGUUGGUGGUUGAUCACCACACCAAACUCUCCCUCGUACUCCCUCGUAUUUAUCCAUCUGAGGGAGAGUAGCUUACUUAAUUGGAGUUCCUCUCUUCUUCUCAGUAUUAAUCUAUUUGCUUGGUGGAGCCACGUCUUGAGCUCGGAUCGACGUCGACGUUGCGCCGAAGCCGUUCGAGCCAUCGUGCGUUUGCGGUUGCGCUGUUGGAAACCGGGCGACCCGCGCGUGAUUUCCUCUCCUUUCGACUUCUGCCGUUGUUGCGAUUAGCAUUUCGAGGUGGGUCUGGAAGUUUAGACCGAGCAACCGUCGUGAAUAUCUUUUAGUUUUAGCAUUUGUCGACAUGUUCAUUCGUUUAUCUCUUAUAUUACUCAAUUCAUGGUUAGUGCUUUAAAUCUGAAUUUGAGUUAAUGCUAGUAGUUUUAAUUUUACAGUUGGACUUGAUUGACUUAAGAGAAAACUAUAAAGAUCUUACACUGUUUUUCUGAAAAUAUUCAUAUUUAUGCUUUAAGACCUGUGGUUUGUUUGUAUCGCGCAGUUUGUAUUGCGGUGCGAUAUCCAGAUCAGUGGCAAUGAGUUUACGCUCCGUGCUGGACGAGCCGAGUUCUAUUUCUUACAGUAGUCGUGUAGACUAUUGGGACUGUACGAUGUACUGUUGCGCGGGACCGCUGGAUCCAGAAUUUACGUUAUCUGCAUCAGAUUGUGCCCGAGGGCACCGUGAAGUUUUGGUGUCAGACCAGUUUGAUCCAUUUAUUUUGAUUACAGUCUAUGAGAGCCCUGAUUGAGCUCGGCAGAGACACGCUUGAUAUUCAGUUGGGUAGCGCCCACGAGUGCCACUUCCGGAGUCGGCUUAGUGCUUUUGCGUUAUUAUCGUAGUGUUCUGGUUGAACUUGCUCUACACCAACCAACCAGCGUGGUGGGGUUGGUGUAGCUUCGACGGCGGGACGGGUGUGUUCAUAGUCCUAAUGAGAUUGGGUCAGAGAUUGCAUCUUACUUAUAUUACAGAUAGCUAGUCUUGGUUAACGGCAGUUAUAGUGGCAUGUAGCUGUAGAGUUUUUUCAGCUUUCUUUAUUAUCCUUUAGCAUACUUUCUGUAGACUUAGUGGCUGUGCAGCUGUUGAUUAUCGUAGCGGUACCAACUGAGGACUAUUCUUUUUGCAGUAGCUUUCUCACACUCAGUUAUUGACCCCUUUUUGCAGAGUCUUCGUCCGCAGCUACUGCUGUUGUUGAUUUGGAUCGUGGAAAGGGAGUCGCGAGCUAGAUCCCUUCCAGUUCUUGUUGCUGUUUAGAGGAGUACCAGCUACAGGAUAGUUUUGAUUUUUGGUUCAUGUACAUACUGAUGUUAGAAACUCGCAGGAGCGAGUGAUGUCGGUAUCUUGGAGACUGUGUAUGUAUAGUGAAAUCUGAUGUUUAUUUGUAUAUGUUUACAGUUCUUUUAGCAGCUCUAUACUAUGGUUGUUGUUUUGUAUGAUUAACAUGUAUGAUGCACAGUACAGUUAUCGCUUCGGAUACAGAGAAAAUUUUUGUAUACGGCGGGUCUGUUGGCGUGCCCGGAGAAACGUGAUACAUCCGGGGCGUGACAAAUUCAUACUUUAAGAAUCAAAUUUUGAAUCAUUCUCAUCAUAAAUUAAUUACGGAAUUUUCAAAAGUGAGUUGUGAUAAAGAGUAUCAUUAGUGUUAAGUCGCAUCAGAGUGGAAUCCUAGUGUUAAUUUUGGAUCACAAUGGUCCCUUCGAAAAGAAUGUUAGUGUUGAGUCUGCAUCAGAAAACCACUUGGACUGUACAUGUCUUUUUUCACUGAAUGUGGGAGAGGAGAAGAAAGUAAUUUUGACUGUAAAAGUUAUUUUUGUUGUUGGUUUGCCGUAACUUCACCAUCGUCGAAACUCAUACUCCCCGAAACAGCAUAACGGCUUCCGCCCCACUGAAAGCCGAAUGUCAAUUACGGAAAAAGAAAAUGAGAAAAUAAUAAAUAUAAAUCCAUCUACUUCCUGUUAAAUAAACAGUAAACACACGAUGAACUUUAAGUUCAUAGCUAUACAAAUCAACCGCAAAAGAAAAGCAAUGUUUACGUGACAACUCUACUUGAGACCUGCUAAAUCUACUUCAAACUUAAACUGAUUUUCAGCAAAGUAAACAGCAUCUAGGCACAAGUCCAGUGUGCAGAUUUGUUGCCUCUACUUCAACAAGAAGCACCAUAUAUGUAAGUGUGACAAUUAAUGUUCAACACACAAGGUGAAUGUUAUUUAGAGUUGAGCUAGAAUGCUAUCAGUAGCAAACUGGCUUCGUUGCCACCCAUUUGUUUUCGAUAAUAGAAUCUUUAAAUUGACGAUCGGCACCAUUGAACAGGAUCUAUACCACUUGAAGUAUCUAGAAACCAAAUUUCAAAUCAUUUCGACAUCAUUAACCUAAUGAUCAAAGGUUUCAAAAUUUAUAAUUUUAAUGGUAGAUAUCAGGCGUUUUCUCGUUUAACGGUGUAAAGCUAUCCAAAUCAAUUGAAUUUUGGUUAGAAAAUUUUUAAACUAUUUAGAAUAAGAUCUAUACUCUCGAUCUUGAUUACAAAAUUGCUAUCAUCAUAUUUUUAGAGGAUAUUCAUUUUCAGCUGUUCAUUUUUACGCCACCCUACUGAUGGACAGAGAAUAUAGGAAAAGUAUUAAAAUUUGAUUUCUAGAUACUUCAAGUGAUAAGAUCAUAUUUAACGUACCGUCGUCGUUUGAGGCUCAUCAUCGAAAACAAAUGGGUGCGCAUGGCCGUUUGCAUACCGAUAGUAUUCUACGCUCAACUCAUGUUAUUUAAUAGACAUUUAUGCAUUAACUCAAGAAUUUUAAUUUAGAGAACAGCAUGAGAAAAUUUUCGAUAAUCUAUCAAAUACAAAUCUAGUUCAUUUAGUUUUAAACCACAUCAUGAAUCAUAUUAAUCAUGCGUGAUAAGCAAUUCACACAUUUUGAUGCCAAUUUGGCUGCCAAGCAACAUAGAACGUCUAAAAAUGCUUGCCCAACAAAAACAAAAAAAGGCUACAAUUGUUGUGUGAGAAAUGAAAAUGUUAGUAUGUAAACUGCAUAACUAAAAUUAUAAAAGGAUAAAUAUCUAGAGGUUAAUCUCAAAUAGACGGUGUGACGACCCAGAUACGUCCUAUAUACUAGAUAUAAUAGGGCCUAAACUCUUAACCCGGUUCACAGCAUUUUGGGUGGUGCCUAGACUCAAGAAGUUAAGAGAGUUAGCGGCUAGGACGGGAAUAGUCUAGGCUGGGGGACUCCCUGGGAAGUCGGGGCCGUCACAGCAUGGUAUCAAAGCCAAUUACAGCCGCAAGUGCUGAGAUGAUCUCGGCUGAGCCAUGGGUUGGAUUGAGGCUAGCGAGACGAUGUCUAACAUCGCUGGGGUACUUGUGAGGUCUGAGCUGACGAGGACGUCAAGGGCUAAGGGAGGGAGUUGUGAAGACCCCAGAUAGUCNNNNNNNNNNNNNNNNNNNNNNNNNAUAGUAUAUUUAUUAUAUAUAUAUAUAUAUAUAUAUUAUAAUAUAUAUAUAGAGUCCGCUACUAUACUAUUGAUGGUACCAAGCCUUUGGUUGACUAUAGAAUUUUCUACCGUUAGAUCUACCCUGUGAUCAUUUCCACCCGUUAGAUUAUACUAUUAAACCAACCACCCACUCAACCCUAGGGACCACUAUCAUCCUAACCGCACAUUCUUCAUCAACGGCCAAAAACUACAUAGUACCAAGGACUUGGUACUAUUAUAGUAUAGGAGCAUAAUUCUAUAUAUUAUAAUAUUGAUUAGGUCUUGUGUGCUCUCAGGAGCACAUAGCUCUCCGUGCUCCUGAGCUGUUUUCGAUGGUGGACUCUCGAAUCGACGAUCGGCUCCGCUAGACUUGAUCUAGCAUAUUUGAAGUAUGUAGAAAAUAAAUUUUGCGAUUUUCGAUAUCGUUUACUUAUGAUCGAAAACAGCACCUAUGCUUUUGAAAGUACCAAGUCAUUUGGUGCUUGUAAGUUUUCGCCCUGGAUUAACGGAUGUGCGGUUUAGGAUGAAUUGGCCCCCCAGGUUGAGCGGGUGGUUGGUUGAAUAGUAUAAUCUAACGGGUAAAAAUGAUCAAAGCAGAGAUCUAAUGAUAAAAAUUUACAAGCACCAAGUGCUUGGUACUUUACAAGCACCAUAGUCGGACUCGUAUAUAUAAUAUAUAUAUAUAAUAUUAUAUAUAUAUAUAUAUAUAUAUUUAUUUAUUUAUUUAUUAUAUGAUGAGAGGGUGGUCCACCGUGACCUCCCUCUCAUCCGGUCCACGAGGUCACUGGCCUUGUGGACCGCGCACACCGCUGCUCCCUCCGCCGCAACACCUCACCAUUUCUCCCUCCGCGCACAACACCGCACCCUCUUGCUCCCGGCACUGUACGGCGUUGGGGGACGCAGCGGACGACCUCGGCGAGACAGGAUGGUCGUUGCGGCCCUCUUGCGCUCGGCACCGGCAAGCUGCGCGGAAGGAGAGGGACGACGAGAGCGGCAAGUGAGCGAUGGGAGCGAACGAAGAGGAAGAGGAGGUAAUGCGAAGGGGGAGGAGGAGGUGGAGAUCCCUCGCCAUGGAUCCUCCUUUCUCAGGUGGGUUCCCUCUUUUGAUCUCCCUCUUUUGUGGGUUUUCGUGUGGAUUUUUAUGUAUUGAUGCAUUUUUUUUGAAGGGGUGUGGAUCGCAUCUGGGCGGUUUGGAUUGAGGUGAGAGAAAAGGGUUCAACUGGGUUGUCUUGAAAUUGAUUUUAAGGGUUUUAAUGUGUUAAUUAAUUUUGGUGUUUAUCUUUUGGGAUUGUUGAAUUGGUGGCUUGUGUUGGAGGUAGUGUGGGUGUGGUGGUCGAGAGGAGAUGAGGCGAGGUGGAGGCGGAGGAGCCGGCGUCGAGGUUGGCGGGGUGUGAACGGCUAGCGACCAAGUUAGGAGAGAAAGAAGGAUAGCUUAAGGGAUUAGUAUAAUAAGGUAGGGGAAAAUAGUUUUAUAUAGGUUUUAAUUAGUAUUACAUAUAUAUAUAUAUAUAUAGAAUUAUGCUACUAUACUAUCAAUAGUACCAAGCCUUUGGUACUAUUGAGUUUUCGGCCGUUGAAUGAAAGGAUGUGCAGUUAGGAUAAUAGUGGUUCCCGGUUAAAUUGAUAGUGGUCCCCCUAAGGUUGAGUGGGUGGUUGGUUUAAUAGUAUAAUCUAACGGGUGAAAAUAAUCAAAGGGUAGAUCUAACGGUAGAAAACUCAAUAGUACCAAGGGCUUGAUACUAUCGAUAGUAUAAUAGCCGGACUAUAUAUAUAUAUAUAUGGUGCUUCCUAUUUUUUGGCCCUUCGAUCAACCCUUUGAUCAUUUCUAAUUUUUGAAUUAACACUAUUACCCUGUGGGGACCCCUCAACCCUAGGGAUAUUACUCAAUACUGGGGGGACCGCAAUCAUCCCAACCAUAUAAUUUUUUAUCCAAGGGUUAAAAAAUUGGAAGCAUCAAUCUUCUAUGCUUCCGAUAGCAUAGUAGCUCUACACACACACACACAUAUAUAUAUAUAUAUUUAGUCCAUCUAGAGUAUUGGCUCCUUUAUACUCGUAAGCUUUCGGCCCUUAAAUUUAUUAUAUUGAUCAUUUUCACCCGUUAUAUCAUACUAUUUAACUAACUAUCCACUCAACCCUAGGGGACCACUAUCAUUUUAAGUGGGGACCACCAUCAUCCUAACUAUACAUUUCAUCAAUCAACGAUUAAAAAUUUAUAAAUAUAUGGGGGUCUAUACUCAUAAGAGUAUAGUAAUAUAUAUGACUAUAUAUAUAUAUAUAGAGAGAGAGAGAGAGAGAGAGAGAGAGUACCUUUUGUAUAUUAUUAGAAGUACGAAUGCCUCUAUGCUUCUAAGCCGUUUUCGAUAAUAGAGCUUUCGAAUCGACAAUCGAUUUUGUUAAACUUAAUUUAGCGUAUUUAAAAUAUUUAAAAAAUAAAUUUUUUAAUUUUUUAAUAUUAUUUAUCUAGCAAUUAAAAGGAUUCAGAAUCAAUAAUUUUUAAUCCCUACUCUAUCGUAUAUCGAAAUCCAAAUUCAAUUUCACAUCCCAAAA
RNAcentral lists this long non-coding RNA (30662 nucleotides) under Ananas comosus (pineapple). Lineage: Eukaryota; Viridiplantae; Streptophyta; Magnoliopsida; Poales; Bromeliaceae. The record is from RNAcentral.